UGGUGAAACGGUAUACACGCAUGCUUCAGGAGCAUGUAAGCGAAAGCUUGUGUGGGUUCAAGUCCCACCUUCGGCA
RNAcentral lists this transfer RNA (76 nucleotides) under Cyanobacteria bacterium UBA9579. RNAcentral describes it as "tRNA-Leu". It matches the Rfam family "tRNA". From Rfam's summary of the family: Transfer RNA (tRNA) molecules are approximately 80 nucleotides in length. Their secondary structure includes four short double-helical elements and three loops (D, anti-codon, and T loops). Further hydrogen bonds mediate the characteristic L-shaped molecular structure. tRNAs have two regions of fundamental functional importance: the anti-codon, which is responsible for specific mRNA codon recognition, and the 3' end, to which the tRNAs corresponding amino acid is attached (by aminoacyl-tRNA synthetases). tRNAs cope with the degeneracy of the genetic code in two manners: having more than one tRNA (with a specific anti-codon) for a particular amino acid; and 'wobble' base-pairing, i.e. permitting non-standard base-pairing at the 3rd anti-codon position. Lineage: Bacteria; Bacillati; Cyanobacteriota. The record is from RNAcentral.